GCUCCGGUGGCCUAGUGGUUAGAGCAUCGACCUCAGAUGCGGGAGGUCGUGGGUUCGAACCCAGACCGCGUCA
Potamilus streckersoni is the source of this 73-nucleotide non-coding RNA. Lineage: Eukaryota; Metazoa; Mollusca; Bivalvia; Unionida; Unionidae. The record is from the annotation of a GenBank genome assembly.